This 7386-nucleotide long non-coding RNA is filed under the name Durio zibethinus. Its description in RNAcentral is "long non-coding RNA (DZIB_LNC001142)". The record is from RNAcentral. Lineage: Eukaryota; Viridiplantae; Streptophyta; Magnoliopsida; Malvales; Malvaceae.
UUACAUCCUUUUCCUUUUCUUGAGAUGUUAUCAGUUGCUGUAUGAUAUUCUUACUUCUUGGGUGAACUACUCAGCAGAAUCAUGCAUUCAUGCUCAUGCUGUCUCCUUGAGCAAAAAUGAUUACCUGAUUUCUGGUGCAGCUAUAUGAAUAUAUAAUUAUGAAGGAAUGAUUUUAUUUUAUAUUUAUAAAUUUCGUUCACCUAUACUCUUUAUUGUUUUCAUAUUGCUACAUGCCUUAGCUGAGUUAUAUUACACAUUGAAUUACUUAUAGAUAAUUCCGCCCCCAACACAUAUAAAGAUUAUGCAAAUACCCUUCUUAUUUAUGACCACUGAAUUCUAUAAGGUUUUUUCUCACGUUAUUUGGAAGAAAAAAUGAUACUGAAAUGUUUAUAGCCACUUGUCACGGAUUAUAUUGGAAAGAUUUUUCACCCUUGAAGUCGACGGGUUGAGCCCCGGUGGAUAAGCCACUUUCAGUGGGAACUUGGAUGGGAGCAAUUGUGCAAACAAAAAUAUCAAGCAAAAAAAGAGUAUUGAGAGGAAAAGGAAACUAUGAAGCACUUUGCUCUAAUUCAUGGCAUGUGUCAUGGAGCUUGGUGCUGGUACGAGGAUGUCUUACUCCUCAAAUCAGCUGGCCGCCGUGUCACUCCACUGGAUCUUGGUGCCAGUGGAAUCAAGUCCAAGAAGAUUAGUGAGUGUUUAUCUCACAGCCUCUAUGCCAAAUCAUGAUUCUCCUCCUGGAACUGGAGUAGAAGAGGUACUAAUUAAUUAAGCUUUACAUUCUAUAAAUCUACUUUUUUUACGAAGAAAAUAGAAGUUUGAAGAUAAGAAAAAAAUUAUAAGUAUUAGAAUUUAAGUUUUAAAUUUAUUGAAUAUCAUUUUCUAAACAUAUUUAUAUGGAUCAAUUAAAUUAAGUUUUAGGUUCAAAUCUCUCUUUUUUUUCCUCGAAUUUGAACUUAAUACUUUUUAAAUUUAAGUUAUGGAUUCUAAUUAUGAUGAUAUCUUAUAUACAAGUUAAAACAUUUUAAAUUAGAAUUUAGACUUUAGAUUUGUUUAUUUAUUCAAUCAUCUUUAAAAGUUAUAUUUAACAAAUUUAAAAUUCAAACCACAACACUUUUAACCUUUACUUUUAUUUUUAGACUUUACUUAUUUUUUACAAAAAAAAAAAAAAGUGAGUAUGAAGUGUUGAGACUUUGUUCAUGUAAAAACAUAGUGAAUUGUGAACGAUUGAUGGAAAUGUAUUUUUUUUUUAAAGAAUAUCAAAUCAUAUUCUUUGGAAAAAUAAAUAAAUAAAAAAUACCAUAAGCCGUCGAUGAUGUGAAUGAGGACAUUUUCUUUUUUCUUUAUUUUUUAAAUUGAAUAUGCGUUCAAGGCUAGCAAUUUUCAUAACUAUAUGCAAAUGCAAGUUUCAAAACAUCUAAUUUUUGGUUGAAUAUUUAUGGAAGCUAGUACUUCAAAAGGGUUAUGGCAGAGCCCAUCAUGGAUUUCCAGCUAUCGUUUGAUGAUGGACCAGAAAAUCCACCAACUCAUGCCUUAUUUGGCCCAAAAUUCAUGGUGGCAAAGGUUUAUCAACUGUCCCUAAAGGGGUCAGUAACUCAGUAUCUCAUAAAAAUUCAAUUUCAUCUGCACCAAAUGGUUAAGAACACUAAUGUGGUUGUGCUGAUGUUGUUGGAAUGUAGGAUAUAGAAUUGGCAAAAACGGUGAUGAGACAAGGAAAGUGGUUUAUGAAAGAUUUGUCAAAUGAAUAUCUGCUAACAAAAGAGAAAUUUGGAUCGGUUCAUCGAGUUUUUAUAGUUUGCAAUGAUGAUUUGCUGAUAAAGGAAAGCUUGCAGCAAUGGUACAUUGAGCAUAGCCCAACAGGUGAUGUGAAGUUCAUAGCUGGUGCUGACCAUAUGCCCAUGUUCUCCAAGCCCAAGGAGGUCUGCAAAUGUCUCCAGGAGCACCUCCUUUUGUCCAAUAGCGACGGCAAGCCAUGCAAAAGUGACGAGGCUGAGUUAGAUUGUAGUUGUUGUAGUAGCAGAACUUUGUGUUCGAGGAAUCACACCUGGGGCACCUCAAAUUCCGGUUCUCCGAAUUUCCUGAAGCUGUAGAAUUAGUAGUUGUAGUUGUUGAAGAAGAAGGAGGUGAUGAUGGAGAAGAAGUAGGGGUUCCUUCCAAAAUGCUUCCACUGAUGGAGAUUUUCAUCUCCCCUCCAAUAUUUAAGCCUGCAGUACCUCCCAGGAGUUCUUGAAUCAUCUUUUAAAUUUCUUCUCUUUGUAGAUCUACAACAAUCCAAAAAACAAGAAAAGCAAAGAAGCUGAUUAUUUUUUAGUGGAUGAAAAGCUAAAGUAAGCUUUGUUGUGUAUUAACUUAUAUAUAAUCCAUGACCAUGUGUGUGACAGAGAUAGAAUGAAUGGAGGUGGGAAACAUGAACUUGCCUAUGUAAGUUCAGUUGAAUGGAUUGGGUUGGCUUUGGGUUUUCUUUUGCGGGUGCAAAAGAAUAGAGGAUAUAGGUUGGGAAUGCUUUAAUAUAACGACCUAUACAGUCAUUGAGAAAGAAGUUUUUUUCUCCAUUUCCUAGUCUACCCUUUUGAUUAUCAUGCUAUUCUUCACUUAUAAAAAAUAUAUAUAUAACUGUUUCCAUCUUGAAUUAAGUUUUUGAUGCACAUUCUUCCACCACAUUAUCUUCGGAUUUUUCAAAUUUAUGAGUCAUAGUAUUUUUCAUAUAAUUUAUUUUAAAUUUCUAAAUUUUCAAUUAACAAAAAUGUAUGAAAUUCAAAUAGUUAAACAUAUAAUGGAUUCAAGGAAAAAAAAAAGUCAUUCUCCAAGUUAUAUAGGCCACUGCCCCCACUAACUUUAAUUAGUUAACCACACUCAAAACUGAAUCCCUUUUUAUGAACCAAUUAAUCCUAUGAGUGUUUUUGGUAAUUAAUUUCUCUUAAUAGUUGGAGAUGGGCUCUUCUAGUAUAUAUACACUGCUGCACUGUAGUUAAUUAAAUAAUUAUAUCAAUUUUUUAUAAAAUAGAUCACAAUUUGAGAAUUGAAUUAGAUAUAUUGAAUAUUAUUUUUUAAAAAUAAUUGCAUGAAUUAAUUAAAAAAAUUUAAAUUCAAUUACACCAAUUUUCAAGCAUUUUAAAUGUUAAAAGUGGAGAAUAGACUGUGUGGGAGUACAUGGCUGUGGUUUUCAAAUGAGCAUUUGUCAAAAAUUUUUUUCCUUUUGCUUGGAAGACUAUGGUAUGGACAAUGGAAUCUUGGGUUGUAUUAAUUGUAUAUGUAUCUUUCAUGGCUUCAACUUUUCUCCUUUGGUUCAAUUGAUUAGUUCAUUUACCUCCAUAAUAAAAGGUUUUGAAUUCAUAUUGAUGAAAAAUUUUCUCCUGAGAAAAUGGUUUUUGUUUUUAUUUUUAUUUUUAUUUUUUAGAAAAUUGUUUUUCUUUUCUUUUCUUUUUCCUAAAAAAUGUAUUUGAUGAAUGAAAACAAAAAUUAUUUUUUAAAAAAUAAAAAAUAAGAAAAAUUAAGUAAUUAUGGAAAUAAUUAUUAUUAAUGACAUCUAAUUUUAAAUAUGUAAUAUAUAUUUAUUAAUUAAUAAUUUCCAAAAAUAUUUAAAUAUGGAUCAACUUCUUAACUUGUAAAACAUAAGAAAAAAAGUAAUGAGAAUUUCUUAGUUUCAUAAUUAAAAACAUUUUUUUAUUUUCAUAUUUGAAUCUAUUUUUAUUUUUGUUUUUUAAAAACUUAUUUUUAUUUUUCAUUACCAAAUAGUUCAUUCUUGUUUUUCAUUUUUCAAAAAAAUAAAAUAAAAAUGUCUCUAUUUUUUAAAACCAAUCACUAUUUAAGCUUUUGGGCAAAACCGAAUGAAAAAAUUAUACAUCUGCAUCUUAGAUUAAGAACAAAAAAAAUACUAUUUUUUAAAAAACUAUAAGAAUAUUUUGAUUAAAGGAAUCAAAAUCUUUAGCAAUUCUUCCAAAAGAACUACUAUUUUUAAAAUUGAAUAAAUUAAGAAAAAAAAAAGUAACAUAAUGAGCGAUGGGCCAUAUUGGGCCUCACAGCCGACCUUGUUGAUGUUGAGGCAUGCAGCAGGAGCGGCCCGUCAACGAGGCCAUCUUUUAUAGCCGCGAAAUAAAACAAAGACGGCACCGUUUUGAUAAUCAAGAACGAAAAUGGAUUAAAAUUCACUUAUGUAAGCCCUUUUGUUAUCCAAACCAGAUAAAAAAAAAAAGGAAAAAGAAAAGGUGGAAAAAAAAAAGAGAGAUUUUCAAGCUUAAACGAAGGAAGAAGCCAUCCUCCAAUUAGAAGAUCGAUUCACCCAAACCACUGUAAAGCCUCGAAAAGAAAAAUCUACGGUAGAAAUCUAGGGUUUGAUUGAUCCAAUUUUCUUCAAUUUUUUAUUUGAUUUUUCCUCUUCAACGAUCAUCAUGAACUGCGAAGUCUGCCAACUCAAAGAACUGGUUACCAAAAUUUGGUCUUAUACUAUUUAUUUCACAUAUUAACUAUAUUAUUUAUGCUUCUGAUUAAAAAAUUCGUUUACUUUGUGCAAAAUUUAUCAAAUUUCUAUUUAGGAGGUGGAGCACUUCGAAAUACGAGAGGUUUUGCGCUGUAAGUUCACUGUUUGAUUUCUGUUAGUUUUAUUUUUUUUAUAAUUAAUUUCAUUUAUUAGUUCGAAAUUAUUUUUUUAUGUUUUUUUUUUUUUUUUUGGUUUUAUUUGAUUUGAUGAUUACGAGAAAAUAAAGUUUGGGUUUUUCUUUAUUUUUUAAAGUUUAUUUUGAACUGAAAGUAAAGAGAUGAAAAUUUUGAUGAUGGCAGGCAUUUUACACACAAUAGUGUUUCAUAGAGCUUUGGGUCUAGUUCGGCCCAAAGAUGUUGAUUUGGAGCUCUUUGAGAUUACUUAUGUAAGUAAUUCAUGAUUUCUUUCCUUUUUUUUUUUUUGGAUGAUGUAAUUCCUGUUUCUAGUAUUACUUUUCCAAUCAAAAUUACUGCCUUUGUUUCCUGAUUUUCACCCGCAUUUGACAUGUAUCUGUUUUGCAUGUUCCCCACAUUUAUAUUUGUUAUAUGUAGGUGCAAUGUGGGGAUGUUGAACUUGAGAAGAAAAUAGAUGAGAAGAUUGAACAUUUUGUAAGUUGGGUAGAAAAACAUCCCAAUAAGAAAAGUCAGGUAUGUCUACUUCGCUUGUAGUUUUAGCCUUUUUCUUUUGAAUAUAGAAAUCAAUGCAUCUUAUUCAUCUUCAGGUUUUACUUUUGCUUGUUUUGUCCCUCUUGCUGUGUGACAUUUGGUAGUAGCCUUUUACAUUUUAGUGCGCAUCUCAUUUUGAAUGAGAUUUCUUUACAUGUCUUGCAGAUAUGCAUAUCCUUUUAUGAGGUGAAAAGCAAGCCGCCAUCUUGGUUCUCUAACAAACCCGAGCACCUAGUUUGGGAACAAUGGUAUGUCAAUUUGAAUGUUACUCAACACCCGAAACCACAUUCGGGCAAAUCUCAUCAUACCAAAGUGGUCGUUGACCCAGGAGGUACAACAAUGCUUAUGCCCUUAACUUUAAAAUCAUAAACUGUUUUAACUUUCUUCAAAACUAAUUGAUUUUCUUCUUUUUGUUUUUUUAAUUUGUUUGUGUUCAUUAUUAUAGAGAGUGCUUCUGAGGAGAGAGGUUCGCGCAGAGUAGCACUUGAAGUAUCUCUUCUAGAGGUCAUGUUUCAAAUAAUAAAGUUUGUUAAUGAGAAGAAGGACCAUGUUCCCCCCAUAUCUGAGGGUGUCAUCUAUUUUCCACAUGAAAUUACUGUACCAAGGUCAGUUCUCCCUUCUGUACAUUUUCAUUUUUUUUCAGGUUACUUUCAAAGGAAAUAUGGUAGUGGAAAGCUGCAACGUUAAUGUUCUGCUCUUUUCCAGCAAAACUUUGAUCUUGUUCUUGUGCAUAAAGAAUACUUUAACUGGCUCAAUAUAGAGGAGUACUUGAUUAAACUUGAAGUGGAAGUUAAGAAUUGAUGUCUUAGAAGUUUUUGAAAGAUAUGACUGGUCAAAAAAUGAAUGUUUAAAAGAUUCUAAUGAAUGAACCUAAAAAGCAGAUUCUAAUUCAUGUUAGGAAUAAAACGGCAGUGAGAUUUUUCUUGAAUCUAGUAAAGUUUACUUUCUUGCAUUAAAUAUAAUAUCCAUUUCUUCAUCUUUACUGAGUAUGUUAGAGCUUUCUGCUUGAUUGUGUAAAACUAUCAAAUGUUGAAAUAACCACUAGGUUUUAUCCCUUUUUUCCCUUUUAUUCACUACUAUUUGUAGUGUUUAUCCUCAGUUGAUGGGAUUAGAUUGCACAUACGAAUUCAUUUGAUUGGAACGAAGCUAGAAUAUGUAUUCUGUGAGAAGGCUGCCUUCCCACAAAAGAGGCAUUUCUGUGCUUUAGAAAAGUGCCUUGAUGAUGAGAUAAACUUCUUGAAACAGUCAUCUAAUAUUGGUUUUGUCUGUCUAGCUUCCAAAUUCUGAAUAAUCCUACCACUUGAUUCCUACUUGACAAUUCUCGCUCAGGAUGCUUAUAAGAUGUUUAUUUUGUCUUUUAAUGCAACCAGGAGAUGAUAUCUCUAAUCGAGUCAGAGAGGUUGUUUGUUUUUAUUUUUGAUGGAAUUGAAUGAUCUUAUAUUUAAGUGUUUUAAUCAGCUACCUAGGAAGAAAGAAAUUUAGAGAAAAUUGUUAUCAUGCUAAUUAGGAAGUUAGGUUUUAACUGAAAGUAGUUGGUUUUUGUUGAUGUUCUUAGUAUUCUGGUUUGAGAUAUUUGAACCAAAUGUGCAAAAUAUAGUUAGAGUCACAAAUUGACCAUGUCAAGCUAAGCUCAAUUGACUGCGCUGAUCCGUUGCUUUUGUUUUGAUGAAUUGUUGUUGCCAUUCUCAUCUCUGUUUGUUAGGAAAUUUCAAUGAAGAACAUGUUUAGAAUGGUGAGUUAAUAUUGUGCUGCCAUUACUCAGUUCAUCAGAUUCUGCUUUUGGAAUGGACAUGAUCAAGAGGAUGCUUCAGACUGGGCAUCCAACCAUGCUCAGCUGAUUAUCAGACUAGGCAAGCUAAUUCACUCCCUAAAUCUCUUUCGGGGUAAAACAGUUCCUCUACUUGCGAUAUACAUAAAUGCUCAAAUUAAACAUGUAGCAAAGUGCAGAACUGAUGAAAGCCAAUGAGGCAGGCAAGGUUUGAAUAUCUGAAGAUAUAAUAGCUAGGUGCAUAAUUGAAUCCAUUAUCUUGUAAAUAUUAUCUCAUUUACAUCCUUUUCCUUUUCUUGAGAUGUUAUCAGUUGCUGUAUGAUAUUCUUACUUCUUGGGUGAACUACUCAGCAGAAUCAUGCAUUCAUGCUCAUGCUGUCUCCUUGAGCAAAAAUGAUUACCUGAUUUCUGGUGCAGCUAUAUGAAUAUAUAAUUAUGAAGGAAUGAUUUUAUUUUAUAUUUAUAAAUUUCGUUCACCU